UGAUGUGGUGCAAAACUCAAAAAAGUAAGUCUCAGUUCGGAUUGAAGGCUGAAAUUCGCCUUCAUGAAGCCGGAAUUGCUAGUAAUGGCAGGUCAGCAUACUGCCGUGAAUACGUUCCCGGGCCUUGUACACACCGCCCGUCACACCAUGAGAGUUGGGAAUACCCGAAGCCUGUGAGCUAACGUUAAGAGGCAGCAGUCGAAGGUAGAAUCAAUGAUUGGGGCGAAGUCGUAACAAGGUAUC
RNAcentral lists this ribosomal RNA (243 nucleotides) under uncultured bacterium. RNAcentral's name for it is "partial 16S ribosomal RNA". It matches the Rfam family "Bacterial small subunit ribosomal RNA", at positions 1258 to 1500 of the family's 1533-position model. The record is from RNAcentral.